RNAcentral lists this long non-coding RNA (598 nucleotides) under Cavia porcellus (domestic guinea pig). RNAcentral's name for it is "lncRNA (ENSCPOG00000038097.1)". The record is from RNAcentral. Lineage: Eukaryota; Metazoa; Chordata; Mammalia; Rodentia; Caviidae.
GGGAGGGCAGGCUGGAGCAGGCGCGGGCCCUCGGGGUCCGGGGCUCAGCGGGGCGUAGACGGACAGAGGGUUGCCCGGGGCUGGCUCUGCGGCCAGGGGCAGGUGGGCAGCACGGUCCGUGGACGCGGCUCCAGUCCCGCGGUGCGCAGGAAGGAGGGAUGGGUGGACGAAGCAGCAGUGUGAAGCUCGGAAGGUAUAACUACCUCUUCUCUGCUGUUUGGACAUGGAUGUUCCCCUCUGUACUGCUUAGAGAGUUAGAGAAGUGUGAACAGCAUGGACAACCAUCCUAGUUUGACUAGGACUAUCCUGAUUUGAUCUCAAAAAGAUCCAUGUUCCAUCACAAUGUCUUGGAGAGCCCUAGUGCCUGGACAACUGGAAAGGUGAGUCAACCAGGAGCAAGUAUGCAGAGCACCACCUGUUUUACCCAGUGGCAUAUUAUGACAAGAAAUAUCCUGAUAUGGGAAAUAUAAGCUUACUAGGAAAAUACUAGGAGGUGAUAAAUCAUGUUAUAAAAUGACCACCUAGACUAGAUUCCCUAGACCACAGUUAUCCUCACCUCCUUGGAGGUAGGAGAAGAUCUUUGUAGGCUGCAAAAAAU